Long non-coding RNA from Corapipo altera (White-ruffed manakin), 828 nucleotides. RefSeq lists it as uncharacterized. The transcript has 2 exons. The record is from RefSeq and is a predicted model, not a curated record. NCBI's taxonomy places the organism in Eukaryota, Metazoa, Chordata, Aves, Passeriformes, Pipridae.
CUGAGAAUUAGCUGCAUUAGUGAUUUUUUUUUUUUUUUUUUUUGCUUUACAUAUGAACGGGAAAGUGCAUAGGAAUGGAGAUUGAUUUAAGCUCUACUGCACAAGCAGGGGAGAAAUUUGGUGGAUGGUCCCACAAAUGUCAUUGACAAGUGAAUUAACCAAGAAGAGUUUGUCUUCAGGACAGCCACAUCAGCUGGAGCUUGAAAAUUCCUUCUAGUGACCUGCACCAAAGUAGUGCUCAAGUUGCUCCAAGGACCUCUUCUCCAUCUGGACUCCUAAAUCCACCUGCAUCGUGUCCUGCAAAAGCCAGGAAAAGCAAGAAAAAUGUGGGGACAGAUGCACACCCCUGAUAUAUCAAACUUCCCUGGAGAUCAAGGGCCAGAGCACAGUGUGAUUCCCCAGCCUCAGGGUUCCUCUGAAGUAGAACAGAGCAACAGGUGGUGGCUGUUAAUGUGCUGAAUGUGGCGUCCCUCUGUGUCCGGCCAUGGAAAACAAAGCAAGCGAGCGGAUCCAUGCCAAACACUUUGCAAGCAUGGAGCUUACACAAUUGGGCUCCACCCACAUGCCUCACAUGGGAAUUUUCUCCCUCACCAGCUGGGUUAAGAUCACAAGAUGGGAAAAAGGAGAGGGGGGGAAAAAAAAGAGAGCUGGAGUUGUUUUCUUUCCAUUGUGGCUCCUCAGCUGAAAGUUCCUUUGCAAGAGAAUAAUAGAAUAAAGAUGAGAACGAACACUGCUGAUGGCUCAAAAUCUGGCACCAAAGUUUAUUUUUUCUAAGCAGUCUGAGCCUGAACAGUCUUGUCAGACAAUGUCAACAGAGGUGAAAAAAAA